Molecule: ribosomal RNA, 451 nt
Filed under: uncultured bacterium
Lineage: Bacteria
Description: bacterial SSU rRNA
Rfam family: Bacterial small subunit ribosomal RNA
Source: RNAcentral
ACUCCUACGGGAGGCAGCAGUGGGGAAUAUUGCACAAUGGGCGCAAGCCUGAUGCAGCAACGCCGUGUGAGUGAAGAAGGUUUUCGGUAUCGUAAAACUCUGUCCUAAGGGAAGAAACAAAUGACGGUACCUUAGGAGGAAGCCCCGGCUAACUACGUGCCAGCAGCCGCGGUAAUACGUAGGGGGCAAGCGUUAUCCGGAAUCACUGGGGCGUAAAGGGUGCGUAGGCGGCUUAGCAAGCCAGGGGUGAAAGGCAUUGGCUCAACCAAUGUAAGCCUUUGGAACUGUUAAGCUUGAGUGCAGGAGAGGUAAGUGGAAUUCCUAGUGUAGAGGUGAAAUUCGUAGAUAUUAGGAGGAACACCAGUGGCGAAGGCGACUUACUGGACUGUAACUGACGCUGAUGCACGAAAGCGUGGUAGCGAACAGGAUUAGAUACCCUGGUAGACUGUCA